ACCAAGAAGUAAUUAUAAAUACCUGAGUAGUAACAGCUAUGUUCUAAAAAUUUGAAAAAUUUGGCGGUGGUUUAGUCUUGUCAGAGGAACCUGUCUUUUAAACGAUACACCACGAAAUAUCUUACUUGAGUUUGUAUAGUAUGUAUACCAUCAUUAUUAGGUAAUUUUUAUAGAAUAAAUUACUGGAAAGUUUCGAUAAUGUUGAAUAUAUUAGAUCAAGGUGCAGCUGAUACUCAAGUUAAGGUGGGUUACAAUAGUAUUUACGCUAUUACGGAUAAGUAAAUGAAACUUUACUUUGAAGGAGGAUUUGAUUGUAAAUUUAGUUUAAUAAGCUAAUUUGAUAUAAGCUCUAAAGCAUGU
RNAcentral lists this ribosomal RNA (360 nucleotides) under Portunus pelagicus (sand crab). RNAcentral's name for it is "partial 12S ribosomal RNA". Lineage: Eukaryota; Metazoa; Arthropoda; Malacostraca; Decapoda; Portunidae. The record is from RNAcentral.